ACCUCUAGCAUUACUAGUAUUAGAGGCACUGCCUGCCCAGUGACAAACGUUUAACGGCCGCGGUAUCCUGACCGUGCAAAGGUAGCAUAAUCACUUGUUCCUUAAUUAGGGACUAGCAUGAAUGGCAACACGAGGGUUUAACUGUCUCUUCCUUCCAAUCAGUGAAAUUGACCUCCCCGUGAAGAGGCGGGGAUAAAACAAUAAGACGAGAAGACCCUAUGGAGCUUUAAUUUUUUAAUUCAAUAUUUUCACAACUUCACCCCAUAGGGGCCUAACCAAGAAAAUUUCUGAAUUAAAAAUUUUGGUUGGGGUGACCUCGGAGCAAAAACUAACCUCCGAAUGAUUAAAGCCAAGACCCAACAAGUCAAAGCAUAAAAAAAUCAUAAAUUGACCCAAAUCCUUUUUGAUCAACGGAACAAGUUACCCUAGGGAUAACAGCGCAAUCCUAUUUUAGAGUCCCCAUCGACAAUAGGGUUUACGACCUCGAUGUUGGAUCAGGACAUCCCAAUGGUGCAACCGCUAUUAAU
RNAcentral lists this ribosomal RNA (527 nucleotides) under Lepus victoriae (African Savanna hare). RNAcentral describes it as "Lepus microtis (African Savanna hare) partial 16S ribosomal RNA". It matches the Rfam family "Bacterial large subunit ribosomal RNA", at positions 1818 to 2569 of the family's 2925-position model. The record is from RNAcentral. Lineage: Eukaryota; Metazoa; Chordata; Mammalia; Lagomorpha; Leporidae.